Molecule: long non-coding RNA, 803 nt
Organism: Strongylocentrotus purpuratus (purple sea urchin)
Lineage: Eukaryota; Metazoa; Echinodermata; Echinoidea; Camarodonta; Strongylocentrotidae
Exons: 2
Source: RefSeq, a predicted model, not a curated record
GCGACUUUGCGUUUUACACCCUGGCCUGGACAUUUUCCCGGUAAAUAGCAAUGAAACUGCUUGAAUGAGUCUAGUCUACGCUCCUCGAUCGGGCGCGCCAGUUCCAAAUCGAAUCGUACAUGCGCACAGUACAGACGUACGUCGAUGCAGCAUUUAUACACACCGUACGCAGCUGCAAUACUGAAGAUUAAGGGAGAAGAUAUAGGAUUUCAAGUUCAGAACAACAAGUUAAGAAGCUUGCUGCACGAUGGAAUUCAUCGAGGAUGAUGACGGAGUGGCAAUGCAGACGCCUUUGCGGGUAUGAAUACUGUAAAUCCAGUUUUGAAUUGUAGUUAUAUGAGUACGAUUAACUGUAACUGUUAGGCAUCCAUAGUUAGCAAAACUAAGAGUAAGACUAAGUGAGUCGCUGCACAUUAAAAAUAUUUUCACGUAUCAUCCAUUAUUAUGUGUAUUCAGUUCGUUAUCUCCAAAGUAAAGUGCGGUGCACGCCUCUGCGCCCAUGAAUCCGCCUAUGUUCAGAUCUCUUUUUAUCUACAUGUGCAUGUAUUUUCAAAUAAAAAUUUCUUAUAGUCAUUUCUUGCAUCUAAAUCUUAACACACUGUCAAAUUAUCUGUUCAAAUUUCUACUAUUGUUUGCUUUCACUUUUACUACAUAUUUCUUCUUUAUAUAACUAUUUAUGCAUACACAUACUCCUGUAUCUUUUGUAUUACUUCUCUGACAUUGAAGGAUUAGAUUACCUUCACGAAAAAAAAAAGUAUAUGAAUGUAAAGCAGUAAAUAAAGUGCAAAUGAAUUCAUGUAAAA